UCCGCCCUGACCGCCACCCAGCCGUUGCUUCCACCUCGGCACCGGCGUUGUUGCGGUUGUGAGCGUGAAGAUCGAACAGAGGGAGAGAAACCGCGAGCGAAGGGUGACGAUGGGGCCUCUAUCACUGCUGCUACCACCAAGCGUCGCCGCCGCCGCCGCCACCGCCGAAGGCCCUAUCGUCGUCGUCAAUUCUGCCUGGAUUGCCGCCAUUGCUGGAAACCACUACUGGAGCCGCCAGCACCAUAAUACUCCUCCAACUUCACCUCUGUUCCAUUAGGGCUUGCUGCUGCAUUUUCUGUUUUGGAUUUUCCAUCUUUAAAGCUACCACCAACAACGUCACCCCUUUUUCUGAUUCCAAUUCCGUAAUUCAUAAACCUUCAGAGUUGGUGCCGCUGCCGCCGUUCUGGAUUGUGUUGGAAUUGCUGCUGCUGCUGUAAGUUCAAACUAAGUGGGAUUGUCACAUUUAAUUCCUGGGAUCAGUUAAUCGAGAUUUUGGUGACAUCCUUUAUGCUUACAGUUCUAGAUUGUCAACUCAAAAAGCGAAGAACAUUAAAGGUACCAGAUUGUUAAUAUAUAAUGCUUUAUUAGUGCCUAAAUGAAAGAUGCUUAAUACUCUCUGGAUUAGUGUGGCUUAGCUGUCAAGAAAGUUCAAGAUAGUGUGGCUUAGCUGUCAAGGUGUUAUUCAAUUUGUUAUAAGUUGGUUAGGAAGCCUUUAGCUUUAUUAUCAACAGUCUCCUUCUAUAUAAGCUUAAUACUCAUUGUAAUCAGUUGGCAUUUUUUACUCAUUAUCAAUUUUGGUUAAUUCGGUUUUAUUUUUCCAUUCUUGUUGUACUUCUCUAUUUCCAAACUAUUUCCAAAAGUCAAGUAUAUUUGUUAUGAGGACUUUGGUGGAAAUUGUGCUUUGUAGUGAUUGUUUGACAAUUGAUACUUAUGUAAAUUUAAUGAAUUCUUCAUAUGAUUAAUAAGGUUGAGUUUAUAUAUUGAAUUGUCAAUUUUUGAUAAUUUGCAUUCUUGAUUGGCUAGUUUUAAAUUUUGAGAAUAGAUUCUUAAAGAAUUAGUUAAUUUUAACUUGUAAGUUCUAAUUUAAUUUUAUUCUCAUGAAGAUAGUGUUAUAUGUGGUUUUUUAAUUUUGGUUUU
This is a long non-coding RNA of Arachis duranensis, 1137 nucleotides long. RefSeq lists it as uncharacterized. The transcript has 3 exons. The record is from RefSeq and is a predicted model, not a curated record. NCBI's taxonomy places the organism in Eukaryota, Viridiplantae, Streptophyta, Magnoliopsida, Fabales, Fabaceae.